RNAcentral lists this ribosomal RNA (119 nucleotides) under Lepisosteus oculatus (spotted gar). The record is from RNAcentral. Lineage: Eukaryota; Metazoa; Chordata; Actinopteri; Semionotiformes; Lepisosteidae.
ACCAGCAGCCAUAUCACUCUGCAACUCACAACUGGCAACCCACUGUAACUAAGCAGGUGUGAGCUUGGUCAGUACCUGGAUGGGAGACCUCCUGGGAAAAACUAAGGUUGCUGCUGGAA